Molecule: ribosomal RNA, 254 nt
Filed under: uncultured bacterium
Lineage: Bacteria
Description: partial 16S ribosomal RNA
Rfam family: Bacterial small subunit ribosomal RNA
Source: RNAcentral
UACGAAGGGGGCUAGCGUUGUUCGGAUUUACUGGGCGUAAAGAGCUCGUAGGCGGUUCAGUAAGUCGGGUGUGAAAACUCUGGGCUCAACCCAGAGACGCCACCCGAUACUGCUGUGACUUGAGUACGGUAGGGGAGUGGGGAAUUCCUGGUGUAGCGGUGAAAUGCGCAGAUAUCAGGAGGGACACCAGUGGCGAAGGCGCCACUCUGGGCCGUAACUGACGCUGAGGAGCGAAAGCGUGGGCAGCAAACAGG